AUUGAACGCUGGCGGCAUGCCUUACACAUGCAAGUCGAACGGUAACAGGUCUUCGGAUGCUGACGAGUGGCGAACGGGUGAGUAAUAUAUCGGAACGUGCCCAGUCGUGGGGGAUAACGCAGCGAAAGCUGUGCUAAUACCGCAUACGAUCUACGGAUGAAAGCAGGGGACCGCAAGGCCUUGCGCGGACGGAGCGGCCGAUGGCAGAUUAGGUAGUUGGUGGGAUAAAAGCUUACCAAGCCGACGAUCUGUAGCUGGUCUGAGAGGACGACCAGCCACACUGGGACUGAGACACGGCCCAGACUCCUACGGGAGGCAGCAGUGGGGAAUUUUGGACAAUGGGCGCAAGCCUGAUCCAGCCAUGCCGCGUGCAGGAUGAAGGCCUUCGGUUGUAACUGCUUUUGUACGGACGAAAGACUCUUUCUAAUAAAGAAGGGUCCGAUGACGGUACCGUAAGAAUAAGACACCGGCUAACUACGUGCCAGCAGCCGG
RNAcentral lists this ribosomal RNA (492 nucleotides) under uncultured bacterium. Its description in RNAcentral is "bacterial SSU rRNA". It matches the Rfam family "Bacterial small subunit ribosomal RNA", at positions 30 to 518 of the family's 1533-position model. The record is from RNAcentral.